AGUUCGAUCAUGGCUCAGAUUGGAACGCUGGCGGGAUGCUUUAUACAUGCAAGUCGAACUACAGCACGGACUUCGGUCCAGGAAGAGUGGCUAAACGGGUGAGUAAUGCAUCGAACGCUCUAGUAGCGGGGAUGACCCACGCGAAAGCUGCAGAUGAUUACCGCAGCACAGCCUUCGGGAGGCGGGGACCUUCGGGCCUGCAUCGCUGUAGGAGCGGCCGAUAUCGGAUUAGCUAGUUGCGGCAUCGGCUCACCAUGCGGACAUCCGUAGUUGGUUUGAGAGGACGACCAGCCACACUGGGACUGAGACACGGCCUGACUGCAUGGGAGGCAGUGGGGAAUUCUUGGACAAUGGGGAAAAACUCCCGAUCCAGCCAUCCGCGUGUGCGAUGAAGGCCUUCGGGCUGAAAAGCACUUUUGGGCAGGAAAGAAACGCACGGAUAAUACCCUGUGUGCAACUGACGGUACCUGGCAGAAUAAGCACCGGCUAACUACGCCAGCAGCCGCGGUAAUACGUAGGGAAAAGCGUUAAUCGGAAUUACUGGGCGUAAAGCGUGCGGCAGGCGUCUGGAAAAGAAAGAUGCAGAAAUCCCAGAGCUUAACUUUGGAACUGCAUUUUUAACUACCGAGCUAGAGUGUGUCAGAGGGAGGUGAAUUCCGCGUGUAGCAAGCGGAAAUGCGUAGAUAUGCGAGGAACACCGAUGGCGAAGGCAGCCUCCUGGGAUAACACCGACGCCUAUGCACGAAAGCGGACAAACAGGACGGAUACUCCUGCAGUCCACGCCCUAAACGAUGUCAACUGGCUGGGUUGGGGCCUUCGGGCCUUGGUAGCGCAGCCAACGGGCAGGAAGUUGACCGCCUGUAUACGGUCGCAAGAUUAAACUCAAAGGAAUUGAUGGGACCCGCACAAGCGGUGGAUGAUGUGGAUUAAUUCGAUGCAACGCGAAAAACCUUACCUACCCUUGACAUGUCUGGAAUCCCGAAGAGAUUUGGGAGUGCUCGCAAGAGAACCGGAACACAGGAUGCUGGGCAUGGCUGUCGUCAGCUCGUGUCGUGAGAUGUUGGGUUAAGUCUCCGCAACGAGCGUAAACUCCUUGUCAUUAGUUGCUACGAAAGGCACUCUAAUGAGACUGCCGGUGACAAACCGGAGGAAGGUGGGGAUGACGUCAAGUCCUCAUGGCCCUUAUGUGGUGAGGCUUCACACGUCAUACAAUGGUCGGGACAGAGGGUCGCCAACCCGCGAGGAGCCAAUCCAGAAACCCGAUCGUAGUCCGGAUCGCAGUUCCGCAACUCGACUGCGUGAAGUCGGAAUCGCUAGUAAUCGCGGAUCAGCAUGUCGCGGUGAAUACGUUCCCGGGUCUUGUACACACCGCCCGUCACACCAUGGGAGUGGAAGCCUACUUGUAGUGCACAUAGCCUUAACCGUAAGGAGGGCGAUUACCACGGUAGGAUUCAUGACUGGGGUGAAGUCGUAACAAGGUAA
RNAcentral lists this ribosomal RNA (1482 nucleotides) under uncultured Bordetella sp. RNAcentral's name for it is "partial 16S-23S ribosomal RNA intergenic spacer". It matches the Rfam family "Bacterial small subunit ribosomal RNA". The record is from RNAcentral. Lineage: Bacteria; Pseudomonadati; Pseudomonadota; Betaproteobacteria; Burkholderiales; Alcaligenaceae.